Molecule: ribosomal RNA, 1241 nt
Filed under: metagenome
Description: bacterial LSU rRNA
Rfam family: Bacterial large subunit ribosomal RNA
Source: RNAcentral
UGAAUACGAGAUGCUACGGCGUCGAAGCAGUGUAUGUCAGACUUCCAAGAAAAGCUCGCAAUGUCAUAAAUAAAGAAUGCCUGUACCAUAACCGACACAGGUGGGUAGGUAGAGUAUACUAAGGGGCGCGAGAUAACUCUCUCUAAGGAACUCGGCAAAAUAACUCCGUAACUUCGGGAGAAGGAGUGCCUUCUUUAAGAAGGUUGCAAUAACAAGAUCCAAGCAACUGUUUAUCAAAAACACAGGUCUCCGCUAAGUCGUAAGACGAUGUAUGGGGGCUGACGCCUGCCCAGUGCCAGAAGGUUAAAGAAGUUGGUUAGCUUUUGCGAAGCUGAUGACUGAAGCCCUGGUGAACGGCGGCCGUAACGAUAACGGUCCUAAGGUAGCGAAAUUCCUUGUCGGGUAAGUUCCGACCCGCACGAAAGGCGUAAUGAUUUGGAUACUGUCUCGGAGAGGGACUCGGUGAAAUAGACUUGUCUGUGAAGAUGCGGACUACCUGCACCAGGACAGAAAGACCCUAUGAAGCUUUACUGUAACUUGAAAUUGAAAUUGCACUUUAUUUGCGCAGUAUAGGUGGAAGGCGUUGAAAGUAAUCUUGCGGGAUUAGUGGAGCCAUCAGUGAGAUACCACUCCUAUAAUGUUAGAUUUCUAACUUUGGAUCAUGAUCUGGUCAAAGAACAGUUUCAGGCGGGCAGUUUGACUGGGGCGGUCGCCUCCCAAAUGGUAACGGAGGCGUACAAAGGUUUCCACUGAACGGGUAGAAAUCGUAUCUAGAGUGUAAAGGCAUAAGGAAGCUUGACUGUGAGACCUACAAGUCGAGCAGGGACGAAAGUCGGUCUUAGUGAUCUGACGGUGCUGAGUGGAAAGGCCGUCACUCAACGGAUAAAAGUUACUCUAAGGAUAACAGGCUGAUCUCCCCCAAGAGUUCACAUCGACGGGGAGGUUUGGCACCUCGAUGUCGGCUCAUCGCAUCCUGGGGCGGUAGUACGUCCCAAGGGUUGGGCUGUUCGCCCAUGAAAGCGGUACGCGAGCUGGGUUCAGAACGUCGUGAGACAGUUCGGUCCAUAUCCGGUGUAGGCGUUAGAAUAUUGAGAGGAGCCUUCUUUAGUACGAGAGGACCGAGAAGGACAUACCUCUGGUGUACCAGUUAUCGUGCCAACGGUAAACGCUGGGUAGCUAUGUAUGGAGAGGAUAACCGCUGAAAGCAUCUAAGUGGGAAGCCCACCUCAAGAUGAGUAUUC